AGGUUGGCUCAGAAGCAGCCAUCCUUUAAAGAGUGCGUAACAGCUCACUAGUCGAGUGACCCUGCGCCGAAAAUGUACCGGGGCUAAGCCUGAUACCGAAACUGCGGAUUGUAGGAAACUAUAGUGGUAGGGGAGCGUUGUAUACGAGCAGAAGCCGUACCGUGAGGAGCGGUGGAUUGUAUAGAAGUGAGAAUGCCGGUGUGAGUAGCGAGAUGUAGGUGAGAAUCCUACACACCGAAAGCCCAAGGAUUCCAGGGGAAGGUUCGUCCGCCCUGGGUAAGUCGGGACCUAACGCGAGGCCGAAAGGCGUAGUGGAUGGAAAGCAGGCGAAAGAUUCCUGCACCCGUAUAUGGAGCGAAGGAGUGACGGAGACGGAUAGUGUGACCCUCUUAAUGGAUUGAGGGCGAAGCGAAGCGGCUGGUUACCAGGCAAAUCCGGUAACUGAAAGGCUAGAGCGUGACAGGUAAGCGAAAUCUUAGGAAAGUAGCGAAGCACAUGAUGACGGCUUCCAGGAAAAGCUUCUGGCAAUGCAUAUGCGGCCCGUACCAAAACCGACACAGGUGGGCAGGGAGAGAAUCCCGAGGUGAGCGAGAGAACUGUUGCCAAGGAACUCGGCAAAAUGACUCCGUAAGUUAGCGAGAAGGAGUGCUUAAGCAAUUAAGCCGCAGUGAAGAGGCCCAAGCGACUGUUUAACUAAAACACAGCUCUCUGCGAAGUCGCAAGACGAAGUAUAGGGGGUGACACCUGCCCGGUGCUGGAAGGUUAAGAGGAUCUGUUAAGAGCGAUCUGAAGCAGUGAUCCGAAGCCCCAGUGAACGGCGGCCGUAACUAUAACGGUCCUAAGGUAGCGAAAUUCCUUGUCAGGUAAGUUCUGACCCGCACGAAAGGUGUAACGAUUUGGGCGCUGUCUCGGCAGCAGACUCGGUGAAAUCUUAGUACCUGUGAAAAUGCAGGUUACCCGCAACUAGACGGAAAGACCCCAUGGAGCUUUACUGCAGCCUGAUAUUGAAUUCUGGUCAUACAUGUACAGGAUAGGUGGGAGACAAAGAGACGUGCACGCCAGUGUACGAGGAGUCGGCGUUGGGAUACCACUCUUGUGUGACCGGGGUUCUAACCUGGUAUCGAGAACAGGUACGGGGAGAGUGUCAGGUGGGCAGUUUGACUGGGGCGGUCGCCUCCCAAAGAGUAACGGAGGCGCCCAAAGGUACGCUCAGAUUGGAUGGAAACCAAUCGACGAGUGCAAUUGCAGAAGCGUGCUUGACUGUGAGACAGACAAGUCGAACAGGGACGAAAGUCGGGAAUAGUGAUCCGGCGGUGCCGAAUGGAAGGGCCGUCGCUCAACGGAUAAAAGCUACCCUGGGGAUAACAGGCUGAUCUCGCCCAAGAGUUCACAUCGACGGCGAGGUUUGGCACCUCGAUGUCGGCUCAUCGCAUCCUGGAGCUGGAUUCGGUUCCAAGGGUUGGGCUGUCCGCCCAUUAAAGCGGUACGCGAGCUGGGUUCAGAACGUCGUGAGACAGUUCGGUCCCUAUCUGUUGUGGGCGAAGGAGAUCUGCGGAGAGCUGUCCUCAGUACGAGAGGACCGGGAUGGACCUACCGCUGGUGCACCGGUUGUUCCGCCAGGGGCAUAGCCGGGUAGCUAAGUAGGGAAAGGAUAAGCGCUGAAAGCAUCUAAGCACGAAGCCUACUCCAAGAUGAGAUCUCCCAUUCGCAAGAAGUAAGACCCCUUAAAGACGAUAAGGUAGAUAGGCCAGGGAUGGAAGUGCAGUGAUGUACGGAGUUGACUGGUACUAAUCGGUCGAGGACUUAAUCAG
This 1811-nucleotide ribosomal RNA is filed under the name human gut metagenome. Its description in RNAcentral is "bacterial LSU rRNA". It matches the Rfam family "Bacterial large subunit ribosomal RNA", at positions 1098 to 2925 of the family's 2925-position model. The record is from RNAcentral.